Molecule: unclassified non-coding RNA, 1892 nt
Filed under: Anthonomus grandis grandis
Lineage: Eukaryota; Metazoa; Arthropoda; Insecta; Coleoptera; Curculionidae
Description: uncharacterized LOC126746336
Source: RNAcentral
GGGUAGUUAUUAAUUAUAGGUGUAUGAACACUCUAAUACCCUUUCUUCUGUUGUUAAUAUUAUCAUUGGGGUUCUGCAUUAUAUGCAUUUGUCACUGGGAGACUGUUACGCACCCAAACAUGAAUCCUGGAACACAUUCCAACCCCUUGACACUAAUUAAUCAAAAAAAAAAAAUUGAUCAAUGUUAACCAUAUAAUAAUCAUGACCCCCGAUUAUGCCCAAUAAUGCCCCAACGGAGAACCACUCCUUUGACGCCAAUGCCAUAUCAACGAUCAAUCAAAUAAGCGCGAUCCUCAUCGACACAAAAAUCUUCCUCUACCUGGCCAACGGAAUCAUCCUUCUGCUGGGCAUUGGCCUCCUGGUCUACGGCAUCUACGGCUGUCGCCUACCGGGACCGCAGCUCUACAGCUGCCAGACCUCCGUACCCAUGGGCGUCCUCACUUGCCUCCUCACGUUUCUCUGGUUUCUGGCCUACAGACUCAAUCAGUUGCCAUUGCAUUUCAUUUAUUUGAUCCUGCUUAUCUGUGUGAUCGCAAGCCAGUUGGUAUUCGCUUUUCGGACCUUAGUGGUGGGCAAUGAGGCGGUGAUCAAAAGCCACUUGAGGAACUUGUACAAAUUAAGAAAGGACACGGGGGAGGUCCAUAAGGAGGUCGAGGAGUUUCAAACGAGGUUGAACUGUUGUGGCUUCGAUGGCCCUCAUGGUAUACUCUAUCGUGGCCAUUCAAGCAAAUGUUUUCCUGUCAAUCGGCAAAGAAGCUCAAGGGAAACACAAUGUCACUAUAUUAAUUUCCGAGUGUUGUCCGAACCAUGUGACUGUUUGCACCAUUUUGGAUGCCUAUCGAGAGGGAUGUGCCCAAAAGAUGAUCAAGGAACAUCGGGAGUGGGAGAGUACUUUCGGGGUCAUUUUAUUUAUUACUGCCCUAGUGUUGAUUGUUUUUGCUUUUGUGGAUGUUGCACAGUUUCAGCCCAUUUAUACUUGAAGAAAACUAAUAAAAAUUUGAUUAUUAAAAUAUUCUGUAUGCCAGGUAGCAAGUGUUUAAAUGGGGGUCUUCAAGGUCAUGUGAAAAUAACCCUUGAUAACAGGUAAACUGAGGGUGCCUAAUACCCUUACUCAGGUCAAAACACCCUUGUUAGGCCUGGUUGCCAAACUUUGCGAAAGAAAACGUGAUUAUUAUUAUAAUUGAAUCUUAUAGGGUGACACCUCAUAAAAACCGGAACAGAUUUAUAUGUAUAAAUAAUAUUCGCGUAAUACAACUGGUUUCCGAUUAAACGUUAUCUAGGCAUACACUUUCGGUACCAACCAAUGGGUACCACCGCGAGUCAGUCAGUGUCGACUUAUUACAGUAGAUUUCUCUUUUAGUUUGCUAACGUUAACCGCUGAGCGAGGACGAUACUUAAUCGUUUUAUUGGCGCGAAUGGUUUUAUUUUAGUGCGUACAUUUUUAUUAUUUAUAUUUUGGAUUUGUUAUAUUUAAUGGGUACCCAGGAGGAUUAUGUCAGAAGUUUUUACGAAGGACUCGAUAGGGAAAAGUCCAGUAACGAGUCCCUGGCACGAGCUUUAGAAAACGAAUCCCAGGACGUCACCAAAGUGAUAAUAUUCGUCACGUCGGCCGUACUAGUCAUUAUCUUAAUAUUCGUCAUGGCGAUCUUCAUUGACUGCAGACAACAGAAGCUGGAGAGUAUGAUGACGAAAGCGGCGCGAAAACAAAAGAAACCCGUCAGGCGGAAGUUCCCUGCACUUCCGGCUAUAACGGAAGGCGCCCUUAGGGACGACCGGACUGUUAUAAUUGAACAUAUGGAGGAGGAGCCCGUGCCCACCUCGUCAUCAUCACAUAAUAUAGUGUAAAUUAAAUUAAGAAACAAUUAAUAAAUAUAUAUAUGUUUUUUUUUUAA